GAUGAACGCUGGCGGCGUGCCUAAUACAUGCAAGUCGAGCGAACAGACGAGGAGCUUGCUCCUCUGACGUUAGCGGCGGACGGGUGAGUAACACGUGGAUAACCUACCUAUAAGACUGGGAUAACUUCGGGAAACCGGAGCUAAUACCGGAUAAUAUAUUGAACCGCAUGGUUCAAUAGUGAAAGACGGUUUUGCUGUCACUUAUAGAUGGAUCCGCGCCGCAUUAGCUAGUUGGUAAGGUAACGGCUUACCAAGGCGACGAUGCGUAGCCGACGGGAGAGGAGGAUAGGCGACAAUGGAAAGGAAACACGGUACAGACGCCGAAGGGAGGAGGCAGUAGGGAAGAUGCGGCAAUGGGGGCAAGCCGGAUCCAGCAGUACCGAGGGGGAGAAGAAGGCGUGAGGGUUGUAAAGCCCUUUUGUUGGGAAAGAAAAGCAGCAGGGUAAUACCCCGAGGUUGUGACGGUACCCAAAGAAUAAGCACCGGCUAACUUCGUG
RNAcentral lists this ribosomal RNA (497 nucleotides) under uncultured bacterium. RNAcentral's name for it is "partial 16S ribosomal RNA". It matches the Rfam family "Bacterial small subunit ribosomal RNA", at positions 28 to 507 of the family's 1533-position model. The record is from RNAcentral.